AACGAACGCUGGCGGCAGGCUUAACACAUGCAAGUCGAACGCCCCGCCAGGGUUGUGGCAGACGGGUGAGUAACGCGUGGGAAUCUACCCUGAACUGCGGGCUAUCUCCGGGAGACUGGAAUUAAUACCGCGUGUGCCCUCAGGGGCAAAGACUUAUCGGUUCAGGGUGAGCCCGCGUACGAUUGGCUUGUUGGUGGGGUGAAGGCCUACCAAGGCGACGAUCGGUAGCUGGUCUAAGAGGAUGAUCAGCCACAUUGGGACUGAGACCCGGCCCAAACUCGUACGGGAGGCAGCAGUGGGGAAUAUUGGACAAUGGGCGCAAGCCUGAUCCAGCCCUGGCGGGUGAGUGAUGAAGGCCUUAGGGUUGUAAAGCUCUUGCACCGGGGACGGUAAUGACGGUACCCGGAGAAGAAGCCCCGGCUAACUUCGUG
RNAcentral lists this ribosomal RNA (431 nucleotides) under uncultured bacterium. Its description in RNAcentral is "partial 16S ribosomal RNA". It matches the Rfam family "Bacterial small subunit ribosomal RNA", at positions 29 to 507 of the family's 1533-position model. The record is from RNAcentral.